This 1317-nucleotide long non-coding RNA is filed under the name Jatropha curcas. RNAcentral's name for it is "long non-coding RNA (JCUR_LNC002558)". Lineage: Eukaryota; Viridiplantae; Streptophyta; Magnoliopsida; Malpighiales; Euphorbiaceae. The record is from RNAcentral.
AGAAUUAAUACUCAGUUUUUCUUCUACUAGAGACGAUGAAAUCAGAAGCCGACAAAGUGUUUAGUAGUAUGGAAUUGUUGGUGGAGGAGGUGACGCGUAUGAUACUCCUACAAUUGGUGGGAGUGGGGUAUUCUCAAUUGCCGGUGGUGGUGGGGGCGGCGGUGGGGGUGAGGAAUAUGAAUACUCAUUAGGUGGAGGAGGAUUUUGAUAAUGAGAAGGUGAUGGUGGGUAAUGCCAAUGAUGCUGUGGGGGUGGGUGGUGGUAGCUUGGUGUGGAUGUUGGCGGCGGUUCUAAUGGUGGUGAGUGGUGAUAGCUUGGUGUAGAUGUUGGUGGCGAUGAUGGUGGUGGGUGGUGAUAGUUUGGUGAGGAGGAUGGCGGCGGUGAUUCUGGAGUGGUGCAUCCAGGCCCAUGUGGAGGAGGUGGACUUGCCGUUGAAUGCUCAUGAGUUGGAGGAGGGGAGUGUGUAUAUCCAUUCUUUGGUGGAGGAGGAGGCGGACUUACCGGUGAAUGCUCAUGAGUUGGAGGAGGAGAGUGUGUAUAGCCAUUCGUUGGUGGAGGAGGCGGCGGUGGUGAUGGAUGGUAUUGAUAGGGAGGGGCAUGAUAAUUAACAGGUGGUGGUGGAGGUGCUUCAUGUUGAUAGGGAGGUGGGUUGUACUCGACAGGUGGCGGUGGCGGUGCUUCAUGUUGAUAGGGAGGUGGGUUGUACGUGGCAGGUGGGGGUGAAUGCUCAGGUGCAGAGGGUGUAUGUUCAACUGGUGGCGGCGGAGGAGUUUGAUGUGUACUUGGCGAAACCUUUUUAGUAGGCGGGGGUGGAGCAUAAGAAUGGGAAUGGCUAGGUGGAGGAGGUGGGAAUGAGUGCUCGACAGGAGGUGAUGGUGGUGGCAGAUGUAUUUUGGGUGAUACCUUUUCAGCAGGCGGUGGCGGUGAAGAUGGUGGGUUGAAUGACGUUGUGGGAGGGGGAGGAGGAUGUGAUCUGGUAGAAGGUGAAGACUUGGAAGUGGGUGGUGGAGGUGAAGGACGAAUAACUGGCCUCAUUGGAGUUGCAGGCUUUGGUACAGAUGGCCUUCCAACCGGAGGUCUUCUCUUUGGUGAAGGAGGGUUGCUUCCACCGCCGCCACCUCCACCGCCGCCACCGCUAGAACCUCCACCACAUUUGAAUUUACUGCAGUCCACAGGACGUGCAGCGUUUGAAGAACAUUCUUUGGCAGAUCUCUGAUUCAACUUACCAGGAAUACAGUUCUUGGUACCAUUAGUGACCACGCUGCCUCCAAUAGCAGCACAACUUGGAGCUUCCCCGGUGAAGUAGUUGAAAGAAUA